UGGGGUGUGGCUCAGUCGUUGAGCGCUCACCUGGCACGUGCGAGGCCCUGGGUUUGAUCCUCAGCACCACAU
Molecule: transfer RNA, 72 nt
Filed under: Ictidomys tridecemlineatus (thirteen-lined ground squirrel)
Lineage: Eukaryota; Metazoa; Chordata; Mammalia; Rodentia; Sciuridae
Description: Spermophilus tridecemlineatus (thirteen-lined ground squirrel) tRNA
Rfam family: tRNA
About the family: Transfer RNA (tRNA) molecules are approximately 80 nucleotides in length. Their secondary structure includes four short double-helical elements and three loops (D, anti-codon, and T loops).
Source: Rfam by way of RNAcentral